UACGUAGGUGACAAGCGUUGUCCGGAUUUACUGGGCGUAAAGAGCGCGCAGGCGGUCGAUCAAGUCGAGUGUGAAAGCCCCCGGCUCAACUGGGGAGGGUCAUUCGAUACUGAUCGACUCGAAGGCAGGAGAGGGUAGUGGAAUUCCCGGUGUAGUGGUAAAAUGCGUAGAUAUCGGGAGGAACACCAGUGGCGAAGGCGACUACCUGGCCUGUUCUUGACGCUGAGGCGCGAAAGCUAGGGGAGCAAACGGG
This 253-nucleotide ribosomal RNA is filed under the name uncultured bacterium. RNAcentral describes it as "partial 16S ribosomal RNA". It matches the Rfam family "Bacterial small subunit ribosomal RNA", at positions 524 to 776 of the family's 1533-position model. The record is from RNAcentral.